This is a long non-coding RNA of Rhea pennata, 1212 nucleotides long. RefSeq lists it as uncharacterized. NCBI's taxonomy places the organism in Eukaryota, Metazoa, Chordata, Aves, Rheiformes, Rheidae. The transcript has 4 exons. The record is from RefSeq and is a predicted model, not a curated record.
AAGAGAAGAGAAGAGAAGAGAAGAGAAAAAAGAAAAGAAAAGGAGCCUUGGUGUUUAAGUUUCUGUUUUGGAUAUGAUAAUUCAAGAUCUUUCACCAUCCAGGAGGAUUAUGUCUUUUCCUCAGACAAAUAAGAAAACCUCCAACUUACAGACUGAUAGAGUAGCUUGAGCAACACAGAUGGUGUUCACUGCCAUAGCAGUUAAUAAUAUGCUGUCAAGCCUAAAAACAGUAAACAGCUUCAGCAUCAAGGCCAGCAGGAUUUCUUCUAAACCUCUGAAUGCAAAACAAAGUAUGUCAGGACAAGUGUCCUGGUUUCUGUUACAAGGCUGUUUCCCAGCUGCCUGGUGGGGCAGCCCCUCCUCCCAUGAUUCACAUGCAGUGAGGAUGAGACCCCUUUCAGAGGUUUAGUGCUACUGGGCCUUUCUGGAAACAUGAAUGUGAAGAAGCUUAUUAUCCUAGAUCAGGAAAAUCAUCCCUCCUUCCCUCCAGAGCACAGAAAGCCUUCAAGUCACAGAUUAAUACCAUGGCCCAGGGCAACACGAGGAAGUCUUCCACAUUCAGCUGGUUCAAGUGAGACCUGUCUGUUCUCAUUGCUCAUCAGCAGCAGCAUGAGGCCUGCAUCGAAAUCUAGAAGUGACUCCUUAGUCAGGUGAAGAGCAAGCCAACAAGCCUUGAAGAAGUACCAAACAGAAAGAAAAGCUGACACUGGUCUUCUCAUUUUGACCAAUGACAAGAACCAGUUCUUACACUCCUAAGUCUCAGUGGAGACAUGCUCUUUGCCACGUUCAGCUGUUCCUGGACUGUGCAGAAUCAAGAGUGUAGGUUUAUCCUUCUCCAGCUGUUAUGUUUUGGCGGGUGAAGAGAGAUUACUGUGGGGAGUCGCUUUCUGUCCACCUUUGGUGACCUGUGCAGCAGUGAGGCCCAUGAAACUGAGUCGGAAAACCAAUCAGAAGCUCUGGAAAACUUUCAUGAGGGAACAGUUCGUGCGCUUACCAGCUAAAAGCGAACAGCCAACAGUUCUGCAGUCAGCACGUUGACAAGGCACUACAGAGGUGAUGUCCCUGAGACAAUAUGAUCUGGGCUGUGGAUCAUCAUCCAGUUGUUUUCUGAGCUCCCAUCACCACCUUGUAAAGUCAUCGCUUCUGUUGCCUUACAAGGGAGGAUGAACACAUCUCAUGUGGUUUCUGCACUUGAGGUAGAGCACACAAGUC